RNAcentral lists this ribosomal RNA (253 nucleotides) under uncultured bacterium. RNAcentral's name for it is "partial 16S ribosomal RNA". It matches the Rfam family "Bacterial small subunit ribosomal RNA", at positions 524 to 776 of the family's 1533-position model. The record is from RNAcentral.
UACAGAGAGUGCGAACGUUGUUCGGAAUUACUGGGCUUAAAGCGCACGUAGGCGGCGCCGCAAGUGUGGAGUGAAAUCCCACGGCUUACCCGUGGAACUGCUUGGCAGACUGCGGUGCUAGAGGAUGGUAGGGGAGAGCGGAACUCCUGGUGGAGCGGUGAAAUGCGUAGAUAUCAGGAGGAACACCGGUGGCGAAGGCGGCUCUCUGGUCCAUUACUGACGCUGAGGUGCGAAAGCUAGGGGAGCAUACGGG